This 59-nucleotide non-coding RNA is filed under the name Desulfovibrio sp. 86. RNAcentral's name for it is "crcB". It matches the Rfam family "Fluoride riboswitch aptamer (crcB RNA motif)". Lineage: Bacteria; Pseudomonadati; Thermodesulfobacteriota; Desulfovibrionia; Desulfovibrionales; Desulfovibrionaceae. The record is from RNAcentral.
UUAAGGAACGGGGAUGGAGUUCCCCUUGAACCGCGUUUGCUGAUAACUCCUGCCACUGC